GCCCCGCUCGUCUAAUGGGAAGGCCGCUGCGUUACAAGCAGCAGACGGGAGUUCGAUUCUCUCGCGGGGUAC
This 72-nucleotide transfer RNA is filed under the name Mycobacterium phage PegLeg. RNAcentral describes it as "tRNA-Val". It matches the Rfam family "tRNA". From Rfam's summary of the family: Transfer RNA (tRNA) molecules are approximately 80 nucleotides in length. Lineage: Duplodnaviria; Heunggongvirae; Uroviricota; Caudoviricetes; Vilmaviridae. The record is from RNAcentral. RNAcentral also lists the same sequence under 3 other names.